UAGAAGGAGAAAAAGAAGUCCAAAAAAAAUGUGUGAGAAUAAAGUUGGUAAGAAUUGAAACAGUUUCGGCUUUUUAACAGCAACUACAAGACUACAAAGUGAGACUCAGAUUUUAGUUUGAAACUUUCAAGACUGCAGUGAGAGAGACAGUAAAAUGAGUGCUACAAUGCUGAGUACUCCCCACAUGUUGGGACAGUUUGUCGGGUUUCUGGUGAGAAUGUGCUUCAAAAAAGUGAAACGAAAUUUGAGUACUUUUGAGAAAAAUGAGAGUGUUGGAGCCAUCAGUCGGAGGUUGAUUAUGUGAUUCAAAAGUGGAGAGAAAAAUUUGGAGAUUUGGCAAAAAUUUGGCAUGGAGAUGAAACUUCUUUCAACCUUCAAUCAAGAUAUUUCAAACUGAUUUCUAUGAAGCUAUGAGAAGAAAAAGUUCUAUAAGCCAAGGAAGACCAUCGAUUUAUGGGUUUCAUAAAAGACAAUGAAAUAUUAUUCUAAUUUAUUCCUAUUCUUAUACUAUUUUUUAUUUUUUCAAAGUCUAGCCUAUAUACUUAUUAUUGUUUGAAGUUGCUUUCUUAUAAUAAGAAAUAUAAAUUUAUUUAUUAAACAACCCCUUUCCAAUGAAUUUUUGGUCUGCUGUGCAGAAAGAAAAUACCUAUCAUUUAUUCUUAUAUGGGAGUGUUCACUCGUUAGCAGACUGAGGCCCAGUUUCACAAAAGCCGGUUAGAUUUUAACCGUGAUUUAUUUCACGAGAACCAAUCAGAGAAGGUCUUUUUGAGAAGAAGGCGUCAGGCUUCAAAAUGAUUGAUUCUCAUGGAAUUAAUCACGGUUAAAUUUUAACCGGCUUUUGUGCAACUGGCAUCAAGAAUUUAUGUAAACACUCCCAAGAACAAAUGGAAUAAUUCUCUUUUUGCACAGUAGUGUUGAAGUUCAUUUUAUAGCAGGGCUUAAUUCAUUUCUAUUGAAAACUUUAUGAAGAGCAUUUUAUCCAGUAUGAGUUCAAUUUUCAUUAUUUCACACAUUUCAUUAUUUCACACAUUUGAUUUGGAACGAUCCCUAUAACGUUCCAAAAUAAUGAAUGUAUAAAUAGUAGUGAGUUUGGAAUUUCAUUGAUGUUUGAAUGUAAUUUUAUUAAUAUUAAUGUUUCUAAUAAAAUCUUUUGUAUCGAA
Nilaparvata lugens (brown planthopper) is the source of this 1160-nucleotide long non-coding RNA. RefSeq lists it as uncharacterized. The transcript is spliced from 2 exons. Lineage: Eukaryota; Metazoa; Arthropoda; Insecta; Hemiptera; Delphacidae. The record is from RefSeq and is a predicted model, not a curated record.